RNAcentral lists this ribosomal RNA (492 nucleotides) under uncultured bacterium. RNAcentral describes it as "partial 16S ribosomal RNA". It matches the Rfam family "Bacterial small subunit ribosomal RNA", at positions 29 to 507 of the family's 1533-position model. The record is from RNAcentral.
AGUGAACGCUGGCGGUAGGCCUAACACAUGCAAGUCGAACGGCAGCACAGUAAGAGCUUGCUCUUACGGGUGGCGAGUGGCGGACGGGUGAGGAAUACAUCGGAAUCUACUUUUUCGUGGGGGAUAACGUAGGGAAACUUACGCUAAUACCGCAUACGACCUACGGGUGAAAGCAGGGGAUCUUCGGACCUUGCGCGAUUGAAUGAGCCGAUGUCGGAUUAGCUAGUUGGCGGGGUAAAGGCCCACCAAGGCGACGAUCCGUAGCUGGUCUGAGAGGAUGAUCAGCCACACUGUAACUGAGCCACGGUCCAGACUCCUACGGGAGGCAGCAGUGGGGAAUAUUCGACAAUGGGCGCAAGCCUGAUCCAGCCAUACCGCGUGGGUGAAGAAGGCCUUCGGGUUGUAAAGCCCUUUUGUUAGGAAAGAAAAGCAGCAGGUUAAUACCCCGCUGUUCUGACGGUACCCAAAGAAUAAGCACCGGCUAACUUCGUG